RNAcentral lists this unclassified non-coding RNA (414 nucleotides) under Hevea brasiliensis (rubber tree). The record is from RNAcentral. Lineage: Eukaryota; Viridiplantae; Streptophyta; Magnoliopsida; Malpighiales; Euphorbiaceae.
AUGUAUGAAGGUAAAAUUUAUAUCAACCGGACUUCCCAUCCUUGGAGUGAGAUGGGGAAAGCACAUCAUCACCAUCUGAAUAAGAGCUUUCUGAAUCACCGUCAUCAACGGAAUUGCCAUUCGAACCAUCAACAUUAAACCUCUUCCCUACAUGCUCAUUUGUGGAUUGCCCUGAAAGUGACACAAUGCCUAGAGAAGCAAUGCUGUUUGCAAUUGCAUCAAUGUCUCGAGAAUUACCGUACAGACCGCGGCUUCCAGUCAAAAAUAAACUUUGAUUUGCUUCAGAAUCUGAUAGAACAACAGGGAAUACGUUCAUCAAUUGAGAGUUACCCGGGCUUGAACCGCUGAUGAGCAGACGCAGUGUAUCUCUAGCAUCCUUUUCCACAUCAGUAGUAGGUAUCAUUGGACUCACGA